AUACGGAGGAUGCGAGCGUUAUCCGGAUUUAUUGGGUUUAAAGGGAGCGUAGGUGGGAUAUUAAGUCAGCUGUGAAAGUUUGGGGCUCAACCUUAAAAUUGCAGUUGAUACUGGUUUCCUUGAGUACGGUAUAGGUGGGCGGAAUUCGUGGUGUAGCGGUGAAAUGCUUAGAUAUCACGAAGAACUCCGAUCGCGAAGGCAGCUCACCGGGCCGGAACUGACACUGAUGCUCGAAAGUGCGGGUAUCAAACAGGAUUAGAUACCCUGGUAGUCCGCACAGUAAACGAUGAAUACUCGCUGUUUGCGAUACACUGUAAGCGGCCAAGCGAAAGCGUUAAGUAUUCCACCUGGGGAGUACGCCGGCAACGGUGAAACUCAAAUGAAUUGGCGGGG
This 393-nucleotide ribosomal RNA is filed under the name uncultured bacterium. RNAcentral's name for it is "partial 16S ribosomal RNA". It matches the Rfam family "Bacterial small subunit ribosomal RNA", at positions 523 to 918 of the family's 1533-position model. The record is from RNAcentral.